CACAGGCACAACGAAUAAGUUGUGUUGUGAUAAUUUUACGAUGUUCAUCUUUCUUGUCGGAGUUGAUCUAUUGAUCAGUAGCACUAGUUAAAAUAGAACAGUGACUGUUGAUUUUUACGUCCUUUCGCCUUCAAUAUCUUCAAGAAUCCUUAAUGAAUGAAAAAUCCUUACCAAACAAAGGACAUAGUGAUUUCGACAAUGUCACCAUCGGGAAUCGAAUUCGGACCUCCAGAUUGUGAGCUUAACGCUCUGACCACUAGACCACGGAGGCUAAACUUUACACGUGGUUAUGUAUUCCGGAUCUACCGCGGGUACUGUAAGAAUCCCGACGUAAGCUUUCUAAGUAUUGCGUCGCAGACUCCCGGCGCAGACGGACAACGUCCUGCGCAUUCAGCUAGAGAUAAGCCCGAACUAACGGGAGGUAUUGUUAUUUUGAUAACCUUCUUAGUAAAUAGAAUUAGCUCGUAAGUUUAGUCUUAAGUUGACCAUUGUA
This is a long non-coding RNA of Pectinophora gossypiella (pink bollworm), 493 nucleotides long. RefSeq lists it as uncharacterized. NCBI's taxonomy places the organism in Eukaryota, Metazoa, Arthropoda, Insecta, Lepidoptera, Gelechiidae. The record is from RefSeq and is a predicted model, not a curated record. The transcript is spliced from 3 exons.